Molecule: ribosomal RNA, 772 nt
Filed under: uncultured bacterium
Lineage: Bacteria
Description: bacterial SSU rRNA
Rfam family: Bacterial small subunit ribosomal RNA
Source: RNAcentral
CACGGCCGAUCGCCUUGAGUUGAUCAUGGCUCAGAACGAACGCUGGCGGCGCGCCUAAUACAUGCAAGUCGAGCGAGAAGACGUAGCAAUACGUUUGUAAAGCGGCGAACGGGUGAGGAAUACAUGGGUAACCUACCCUCGAGUGGGGAAUAACUAGCCGAAAGGUUAGCUAAUACCGCGUACGCUCCUUGGACUUCGGUUCAGGGAGGAAAGCGAUACCGUGGGUAUCGCGCUCUUGGAUGGGCUCAUGUCCUAUCAGCUUGUUGGUGAGGUAACGGCUCACCAAGGCUUCGACGGGUAGCUGGUCUGAGAGGACGAUCAGCCACACUGGCACUGCGACACGGGCCAGACUCCUACGGGAGGCAGCAGUAAGGAAUAUUGCGCAAUGGGCGAAAGCCUGACGCAGCGACGCCGCGUGGGGGAUGAAGGUCUUCGGAUUGUAAACCCCUUUCGGGAGGGAAGAUGGAACGAGCAAUCGUUCGGACGGUACCUCCAGAAGCAGCCACGGCUAACUUCGUGCCAGCAGCCGCGGUAAUACGAAGGUGGCAAGCGUUGUUCGGAUUUACUGGGCGUACAGGGAGCGUAGGCGGUUCGGUAAGCCCUUUGUGAAAUCUCCAGGCUUAACCUGGAACAGUCGGAGGGGACUGCCGGGCUAGAGGACGGGAGAGGAGCGCGGAAUUCCCGGUGUAGCGGUGAAAUGCGUAGAGAUCGGGAGGAAGGCCGGUGGCGAAGGCGGCGCUCUGGAACGUUUCUGACGCUGANGCUCGAAAGC